Molecule: ribosomal RNA, 497 nt
Filed under: uncultured bacterium
Lineage: Bacteria
Description: partial 16S ribosomal RNA
Rfam family: Bacterial small subunit ribosomal RNA
Source: RNAcentral
GACGAACGCUGGCGGCGUGCCUAAUACAUGCAAGUUGAGCGAUGAAGAUUGGUGCUUGCCCCAAUUUGAAGAGCAGCGAACGGGUGAGUAACGCGUGGGGAAUCUGCCUUUGAGCGGGGGACAACAUUUGGAAACGAAUGCUAAUACCGCAUAACAACUUUAAACAUAAGUUUUAAGUUUGAAAGAUGCAAUUGCAUCACUCAAAGAUGAUCCCGCGUUGUAUUAGCUAGUUGGUGAGGUAAAGGCUCACCAAGGCGAUGAUACAUAGCCGACCUGAGAGGGUGAUCGGCCACAUUGGGACUGAGACACGGCCCAAACUCCUACGGGAGGCAGCAGUAGGGAAUCUUCGGCAAUGGACGAAAGUCUGACCGAGCAACGCCGCGUGAGUGGAGAAGGUUUUCGGAUCGUAAAACUCUGUUGGUAGAGAAGAACGUUGGUGAGAGUGGAAAGCUCAUCAAGUGACGGUAACUACCCAGAAAGGGACGGCUAACUACGUG